GGGCUGUGGAGUAUGGCAUCAAUAAACUCCCUCUGAAGGAGGCUCUUCUGAGGCAUACAAGAUUUGUGGAUGUGCAGCAGAGUGAGUGUGGGGUGGAAGAUGCCCUAUACUUUAUAGACAGAUUUCAGGAACUACUACCUUUCCAUGGGCCGGAGGAACAGGACAAGGUGUGUGAGCAGUUCCUGGAAUAUCAGCUGAUGGAUAUCCCCAUGCCCCAAGAUCCCACCACCUUUAAUGUUGAGGAGUUUUGGGGGAGUAUGUCCUCAAUCAAGUGCAAGGUGACCGGUUUGAGCCAGUUUGGGAGGCUCACUAAAAUAGCUCAACUUGUUCUAGUGCUCCCUCACUCUAAUGCCGACGCGGAGAGGGUUUUCUCGAUGGUUGGACUGAACAAGACAAAAACUAGGAACAGCUUGGCCCUAGAUGGAACACUGUCCUCCAUCAUGACAGUGAAGAUGGCAGGCCUGGAACCAAACUGUUUCAGAUGGGAGCCACCAACCCCAGUGCUGAAGGCCUCAAAAACUGCCACCAACACCUACAACAAAAAACACUGACACACACACACACACACACACACACACACACACACACACAC
Long non-coding RNA from Gymnodraco acuticeps, 592 nucleotides. RefSeq lists it as uncharacterized. The record is from RefSeq and is a predicted model, not a curated record. The transcript has 3 exons. NCBI's taxonomy places the organism in Eukaryota, Metazoa, Chordata, Actinopteri, Perciformes, Bathydraconidae.